UGGCGUCUAGUGAAUUGAGUCCCAAGUACAAGUAUGAAUGAAAAAAGAAGGUAAAUGAGAAUGGGAAGGGAUAAGUGGAAAUGAUAAGGAAGUGAAAGGAUAAGUAAAAGUAUGAGAGAAUGAUGUUAAGGUUAAGCAUGGGUGGGAAAGCAUAUUGAGGGUCUAAGGAAAGUAUGUGGGGUAGUAGUCCACGCUAGGUAUC
This 202-nucleotide long non-coding RNA is filed under the name Brassica napus (rape). Its description in RNAcentral is "long non-coding RNA (BNAP_LNC022438)". The record is from RNAcentral. Lineage: Eukaryota; Viridiplantae; Streptophyta; Magnoliopsida; Brassicales; Brassicaceae.